RNAcentral lists this unclassified non-coding RNA (358 nucleotides) under soil metagenome. RNAcentral's name for it is "partial contains 5.8S ribosomal RNA, internal transcribed spacer 2, and large subunit ribosomal RNA". The stretch from base 1 to 120 matches the Rfam family "5.8S ribosomal RNA", at positions 35 to 154 of the family's 154-position model. The record is from RNAcentral.
GAUGAAGAACGUAGUGAAAUGCGAUAAGUAAUGUGAAUUGCAGAAUUCAGUGAAUCAUCGAAUCUUUGAACGCACAUUGCGCCCGUCAGUAUUCUGGCGGGCAUGCCUGUUCGAGCGUCAUUACGCCCCUCAAGUCCCCUGUGGACUUGGUGUUGGGGAUCGGCGAGGCUGGUUUUCCAGCACAGCCGUCCCUUAAAUUAAUUGGCGGUCUCGCCGUGGCCCUCCUCUGCGCAGUAGUAAAACACUCGCAACAGGAGACCGGCGCGGUCCACUGCCGUAAAACCCCCCAACUUUUUAUAGUUGACCUCGAAUCAGGUAGGACUACCCGCUGAACUUAAGCAUAUCAAUAAGCGGAGGA